This 383-nucleotide ribosomal RNA is filed under the name uncultured eukaryote. Its description in RNAcentral is "partial 18S ribosomal RNA". It matches the Rfam family "Eukaryotic small subunit ribosomal RNA", at positions 592 to 976 of the family's 1831-position model. The record is from RNAcentral.
CAAUAGCGUAUAUUAAAGUUGUUGCAGUUAAAAAGCUCGUAGUUGGAUUUCUGGUGGGAGCGAUCGGUCUGGCGCUUAGCGCGAGUACUUGCAUCGUCUCCGGCCAUCCUUGGGGAGAGUCUGUCUGGUAUUAGGUUGUCGGGCAGAGGAUCCUCAUCGUUUACUGUGAAAAAAUUAGAGUGUUCAAAGCAGGCUUAUGCCGUUGAAUAUGUUAGCAUGGAAUAAUAAGAUAGGACUUUGGUACUAUUUUGUUGGUUUGCGCACCAAAGUAAUGAUUAAUAGGGACAGUUGGGGGUAUUCGUAUUCCGUUGUCAGAGGUGAAAUUCUUGGAUUUACGGAAGACGAACUACUGCGAAAGCAUUUACCAAGGAUGUUUUCAUUAA